RNAcentral lists this ribosomal RNA (376 nucleotides) under uncultured eukaryote. Its description in RNAcentral is "partial 18S ribosomal RNA". It matches the Rfam family "Eukaryotic small subunit ribosomal RNA", at positions 592 to 976 of the family's 1831-position model. The record is from RNAcentral.
CAAGAGCGUAUAUUAAAGUUGCUGCGGUUAAAAAGCUCGUAGUUGGAUUUCAGUCUAGGAAGGUUAACUCGCCGAAAGGUUGUACGUUGAUUUUCCUCAGACUUCGUCAGAAGCUCGUGCUGCACUUAACUGUGUGGUACGAUGUUCUGACCUUUUACCUUGAGGAAAGUAGAGUGUUUCAGGCAGGCUACCCAGCUUGAAUACAUUAGCAUGGAAUAAUGAAAUGGAUCUCGGUUCGAUUUCGUUGGUUCUAGAGCUGAGGUGAUGAUCAAUAGGAACAGGCGAAGGUAUUCGUACUUGAGAGUGAGGAGUGAAAUCCGAUGAUCUCUUAAAGACGAUCCGAGGCGAAAGCAUUUGUCAAGGAUGGUUUCAUUGA